RNAcentral lists this unclassified non-coding RNA (200 nucleotides) under Inocybe sp. RNAcentral's name for it is "partial internal transcribed spacer 2". Lineage: Eukaryota; Fungi; Basidiomycota; Agaricomycetes; Agaricales; Inocybaceae. The record is from RNAcentral.
UUAAGUUCAGCGGGUAGUCCUACCUGAUUUGAGGUCAAGAUUGUCACGAGUUCAAAAACUCAAGUUGGAAGCAGCAUUCAGACAACUAAGGUGUAGACAAUUAUCACACCUGUAGAUGGUCUACAAAGGUACCGCUAAUCAAUUUCAGGGGAGCUGACUUCUAGAAGCCAAAGUCCCCCAAAUCCAAGCUACACUGAAGA